AGAGUUUGAUCAUGGCUCAGAUUGAACGCUGGCGGAAUGCUUUACACAUGCAAGUCGAGCGGCAGCGCGGCCUUCGGGCUGGCGGCGAGCGGCGAACGGGUGAGUAAUGCAUCGGAACAUGCCCAGUCGUGGGGGAUAACACUUCGAAAGAAGUGCUAAUACCGCAUACGUCCUGAGGGGGAAAGCGGGGGAUCGCAAGACCUCGCGCGAUUGGAGUGGCCGAUGUCAGAUUAGCUAGUUGGUGGGGUAAAGGCCUACCAAGGCGACGAUCUGUAGCUGGUCUGAGAGGAUGAUCAGCCACACUGGGACUGAGACACGGCCCAGACUCCUACGGGAGGCAGCAGUGGGGAAUUUUGGACAAUGGGGGCAACCCUGAUCCAGCCAUUCCGCGUGAGUGAAGAAGGCCUUCGGGUUGUAAAGCUCUUUCGGCAGGAACGAAACGGUGGGCUCUAACAUAGUCCGCUAAUGACGGUACCUGAAGAAGAAGCACCGGCUAACUACGUGCCAGCAGCCGCGGUAAUAC
RNAcentral lists this ribosomal RNA (523 nucleotides) under uncultured bacterium. Its description in RNAcentral is "bacterial SSU rRNA". It matches the Rfam family "Bacterial small subunit ribosomal RNA", at positions 8 to 526 of the family's 1533-position model. The record is from RNAcentral.